RNAcentral lists this long non-coding RNA (473 nucleotides) under Physcomitrium patens. RNAcentral describes it as "long non-coding RNA (PPAT_LNC002805)". The record is from RNAcentral. Lineage: Eukaryota; Viridiplantae; Streptophyta; Bryopsida; Funariales; Funariaceae.
UUUUAUGGUAUUUAAGUACUUAAUUUGUGAGAUAUAAAGAAAUUUGCAUAUAGGUGUAUGUAAAUAAGAAUUUGAAGCUAUUGUUAGGAUUUUGGUGAUAUCUAAAGAUCCAUAGUGAAUUUAUAAAUGAAAUUUGUUGUAGUAGUUGUUAAAAUUACAUAGUACUUUUUGUAAAAUUUGGAUUUGUUUGGACAGUUUGAUUACAAAAUGAGCUGUUGAAGUUUGGAAAAAAAUCAUCUUAAAAAUAUAUAAGGUUUUAUAAUAUUUUUAUCACAUUUUUAAUGAUCAUUAAUACUUAGGGCUUAUGUGUUGAUAUAAUUUCCCUUAUAGGGAUAAUUUUAUAUAUAAACUUGAUAUUUUUUUUAAUCUUGAGGCUUGAUUGACUAAUUCGUCAUAGCUAGAAGCCUAGUGCUUUCUUAAGGCAAAUUAUCUCUACUUCAACAUAUUGGUGCUUCUAUUGAGAGAGCCUUAAG